CCCAGGCGUGGUUGCGCGUGCCUGUAGACCCAGCUACUCAGGAGGCUGAGGCUGGAGGAUUUCUUGAGUCCAGGAGUUCUGGGUGGUAGUGCGCUAUGCCAAUCAGGUGUCUGCACUAAGUUUGUUUGGCAUCGAUAUGGUGACCUCCUGGGAGCGGGGGACCACCGGGUUGCCUGAGGAGGGGUGAACUGGCCCAGGUCAGAAACAAAGCAGAUUAAAACUCCUGUGCUGAUCAGUAGUGGGAUCGAGCCUGUGAAUAGCCACUGCGCUUCAGCCUGGGCAACAUAGCAAGACCCUGUGUCUU
Callithrix jacchus (white-tufted-ear marmoset) is the source of this 304-nucleotide unclassified non-coding RNA. It matches the Rfam family "Metazoan signal recognition particle RNA". From Rfam's summary of the family: The signal recognition particle (SRP) is a universally conserved ribonucleoprotein. It is involved in the co-translational targeting of proteins to membranes. NCBI's taxonomy places the organism in Eukaryota, Metazoa, Chordata, Mammalia, Primates, Cebidae. The record is from Ensembl.